UGCACUAUUCUUCUUACACACUUUUCUUUAUCCUUUCUGCAUUUGUAUCUUCUAUAAGGUUCAUAUUGUUAUUUGAUCCAUCUGUGUUGUCAUAAUGGAAUCAGUUGGAAUUUAUAAUGAUAGUUUGCUCAUCUACACAUGUCUGGGACUGCUGGCAUUUUGUUUGCUUAUAAUAUGUGUGUCUAAAUAUGGUUGCUCCUCCCUAAAGACAUCAUAUCUUACAUAAGGUCACUUGGACUUAGAAUAUUUUGAUAUUGUUUAUAUUUGGCCCUGUUUGCACUAUAGAUACUUGUGUUAUCUGCAACUGCUUAUUUCUGAGGUAGUCUUUGCAUUAUCUUUGGUGGCCAUUAGGCUCAGUAGGACCCUGACCCCUUCCUGUAUCUCCCUUGCAUAUUUAGAUAUGUAUGUGCUCUGCUUUUGUUGGUAUCACAGUAGUUGGAGAAUUAUUUAUUUUGUGUGUUGUUUAUCCUGUAAGUAAUUGCCCCAACUAUGGAAAUCUAAUCCCAUCUGCUUAAGUUUUAUCCAUGAUAUGUCCAUUAGAGUCAUAGACCAUGUCUUCCUGCAAACCUGUAUUCUGUGUAAGUUUAUCUAAGAUUAAAGCAUUGCCAUAAUUCAGUUAUAUGUUUGCUUGCCUUGGCUGUGCAUAAGUCAUAUAUUUUCCUUGUAUCAUGGCCACAUGGUGAAUAACUCUGCAUUAUCCUUAUGAAUAUAAACAUAUAGUUUGCCUCUGUUUGCACUAUAUUAGUACUGAAGUUUGCUUUUUGUUCACCCAUGAUAAUGUGUCUUGGUUUUGCCUUUGUUUACUUCAUAUCUAUAUGUUGCAGUUGCUUUUGUUUACCCUAUGACCAUGUAUUUUGGUUCUUGCUCAUGUUUACACCAUGCCCAUUUGUUUCAGUUUGCUACUAGUUAUACUAUACCUAUAAAUGACAAUUUGCUUAUGGCCAUACCAUACCUAAUUACCUCUGUUUGCUUUUGGUUAUACUAUGUCCAUAUGUGUCAAUCUAUACCAUGCUUGUGCAUGAGUGUAAGACCCUGUUUUUAUCAUUUUUCCUUCCAUGACUGUACUGGCUAGGAAAUUAAGGUAAUUUUGGGGUCUGGUUCAUGAAACCUCUUGGAUCUUGUGCGGCUUCAGGAAUACGGAUGGUGAUGACUUUUCCCCUUUACUUCCUAAAUCCCCACCAGUGAAGCCUAAUAGCACAUGUACAAAUACUUUAAUUGCAUGACUUGUGAAUGAAUUGGAUACAUAUAUGUGUAUAGUUAUGUGUACGACAAGUUAAGUAAAUAUAAACUAACUGGGUUUUCCCUUUCUUUUUCCCUCUCCACUGCAUGGGCACUUGAGCUGGUCUAAGCCAAACCUUUUGGGCCUUCAAUUCGUCCAUAACACAAACCAGUCCAACUAGGGGUUUAGAUGCUGAUAUUAUAGAUGCAGAUGAAGGCCUAGCCUUUGGUGAAAAUGGUUAACUAGGGGUUUGAUGCACCCCUAGACUAAUCCUCUCUUUGCUUAUGUUAUUUUAAUCUUGAAUGUUGUAUUUGUAUGAACAUGUAAAACAUCACAUUAUAUUGGAAUUUUUAUGUUAGAA
Long non-coding RNA from Lycium ferocissimum, 1580 nucleotides. RefSeq lists it as uncharacterized. The transcript is spliced from 2 exons. The record is from RefSeq and is a predicted model, not a curated record. NCBI's taxonomy places the organism in Eukaryota, Viridiplantae, Streptophyta, Magnoliopsida, Solanales, Solanaceae.